Lycium barbarum (goji berry) is the source of this 1682-nucleotide long non-coding RNA. RefSeq lists it as uncharacterized. Lineage: Eukaryota; Viridiplantae; Streptophyta; Magnoliopsida; Solanales; Solanaceae. The record is from RefSeq and is a predicted model, not a curated record. The transcript is spliced from 2 exons.
CAUGUGCGGUACAUAAUAAUUGUUAGAAUACAAAUAUGACUCAAUCGAGAACUCUCUGAGAUAAAGGCUUGCUUUAAGAUGAAAAGGAAUUUAUGUACUACUCAUUUAUUUUUUUAUGAUAUAAGAAAGCAAAGACUAGCCAGGUGAACGGCCCCACCCAUAUUGGUAUUUGAUGUCUUGAAGAAAAGGCAAAUUAAAGUCGAGAUGAAUAUCAUGAUUCACGGAUGUUCGGCGGUUUACGUGUUAUAAUUCACUUUGAUCGUUCAAUGAUAGCGCUUUCUUUUUCAUAUACUAUGAAUAUAGACCGCACUGAGAUUCGUACUUUAUAGAUUUUAAAUUUUCGAAUAACGAUAUAACUUUCUAAUUAUGGGUUGUAAAUUUAAUAUGUAUAUAAUUAAAUAGUAUUUAAUUCAAAUAUAUUAUUUCAGAUAAAAAUUAUUGGGUUUAGUCGGACAUGUAAUCGGUAGGGGCGGAUCCACACAUAGCCUUCCGAGUGCUCGAGCACCCAUUAAUCCCGCCAUACAUUAUAUAUAUCUGUAUAAAAACGGAUGGAAAAUGGUAUAUAUUAUUGGUAUAUAUUAAAGCAAUACAGAAAAAGAGAAAAAUCAUUGUGCAAUCAUUUUCUUUUAUUUUUUCUUGAGAAAAGUUGGCAAUUUGGGCAAGAAAUUCUUCGAGCUAUUUUUUUUCAAAAAAGUGAAAAGUCUUUUUUUUUUUUUUUUUUUUUUUUUUUUUGUAAUGGUAAUACUUAUCCUAACUUUCUCAUUAACUUUUUAAGUUAUCACGUUUAAAUAGUUGUACACUUAUACUAUAUGAUUUGCAUUAAUGUUAUAUUGAAAGAAGUGAGUACCCAUAAGUCGAAAAUUCUGAAUCCGUCAUUGGUAAUCGGACUUCUACCUCCGCACCUGCAUGAAUACAUGAUGAAGUCGUCGACCAAAGCCGAAAACCAUGACUUCUUGAUUGCUUUGUCAAACUUUUGUUCAACCUUUCAUAUUUGUUCCCUCUCUCUUUAUAAAGCUAAUUAUUACUCCGAUCUAUAAGAUACAACAACGCACAAAGUAGUUCACUUUGCUUUCGCUCUAAUCUAUGUUAGCGUUUUUUAAACUAAAAUUUAGACAUCUUCAACAUGCUUUUCCACAAAGCUUCUGAUCAUGAUGAGAACUCCAUGCACGUUUUCAUGCAAAAAGGGGGAAGCUCAGAUCAUAGGCACUCAAGCUUUGGAAAUAUAAUGUCAAAAGCAGUGGAUUGUGGAAUUAGGGUUAGUGGAUUAACAUGCAAGGAGGAAUCAACAGAAGAAGAAGAGUUUCCAAUAACUUGAGAGAGCACAGAAACCAUAGCAGACAUGUCUUGCUCAGAUCGAGCUGCUGAGUAUAUUGGCAAAAUACUACUCCUAUCAUUAUCCUCUUUCUCUUCCCUUUCAUUGGAGUCUCUUUCCAUGUCUUCGAUCUAACAAAACUUUCAACAAACUUUGUGAUAGUACAAAUUAGUAAAUGAGUAUAUAUACGUAGCUCCAGAAAGAAUUGUAAAGAAGCGGAUAGAUGAGGUGAGAGUAAGGAGUAGCUUUAGGAAGGAGGAAGAAGAUAUUAGGGUUUACUACUAUUGCUUUUUAUGUACGAAUGUGAAUACUGUCCUGCUUUAAAAUACCAAUGUGGAAUGGAUACUCUAUACGGUCCUACUUUAUCUUU